This 274-nucleotide ribosomal RNA is filed under the name uncultured bacterium. Its description in RNAcentral is "partial 16S ribosomal RNA". It matches the Rfam family "Bacterial small subunit ribosomal RNA", at positions 523 to 796 of the family's 1533-position model. The record is from RNAcentral.
AUACGGAGGGGGUUAGCGUUGUUCGGAAUUACUGGGCGUAAAGCGCACGUAGGCGGAUUGGAAAGUUGGGGGUGAAAUUCCAGGGCUCAACCCUGGAACUGCCUCCAAAACUAACAGUCUAGAGUUCGAGAGAGGUGAGUGGAAUUCCAAGUGUAGAGGUGAAAUUCGUAGAUAUUUGGAGGAACACCAGUGGCGAAGGCGGCUCACUGGCUCGAUACUGACGCUGAGGUGCGAAAGCGUGGGGAGCAAACAGGAUUAGAAACCCUAGUAGUCC